Molecule: transfer RNA, 67 nt
Filed under: Marmota monax (woodchuck)
Lineage: Eukaryota; Metazoa; Chordata; Mammalia; Rodentia; Sciuridae
Description: tRNA.Ala
Source: RNAcentral
GGUUGUGGCUCAGGGGUAGAGCACUUGCUUAGCAUGUGUGAGGCUCUGGGUUCAAUCCUCAGCACCA